UGGUGAUGGAAGGAAGUUGCGUAGAUUCAGGAAGUGAUCCGGAGACGGAUGGAAUGGAUGGCGGGGAAUUAGAAAGUACUGAAAAUAGUAAUUGGACUUUAGUGGAAAAUCGUAAAAGGAAAAAAAUGAGGGAUCAAACAUCUGGAUCAGAUAGUGAAAGAGAAAGGAAACAGGUUAGUAGACCGAAAGAGGAGUACAAGGUAAUGCUUAAAUUUCUUGCGGAAUCGGCUAAUGUGUUGAACCCAAUUAAAAUAACUAAAGCUCUGAAAGAAGCGGUUGGCAAGAUUGAUAGUGCAAAGAGGGUGAGAGAUGGCAGAUUACUGUUGUUGUGUCAUGACAAGAAGCAGCAAAAAGCUGCAGUAGGACUAAAAUCUCUGCUGGGAAUAAAAGUAUCGUGUACAAUAAUGGAGGAAAGGAAAUGGGUGAAAGGAGUGAUAACAGGGAUAUCAACUGAUGUUUCAGUUGAGUCGUUCAAACGAAAUCUAUCAGGGGCAGUAGUAGAAGAUGUGAAGAGACUUAAAUAUGUCAAAAAUGAACAAAAGGUAGAUAGCCUCUCGGUAAUGAUUCAAUUUGAUGCGGAAAAAUUACCUGAGAAAGUGUAUCUAGGAUAUUUGAGUUACGUGGUACGACCGUAUAUUCCCCCACCUAUAAGAUGCUUUAAGUGUCAGAAGUUUGGUCACGUAGCUGCAGUAUGCAAUGGAAAACAACGUUGUGCUAGAUGUGGAGGAGAGCACGAGUACGGAAAGUGUGGGCAUGGAGUGAACCCAAAAUGUUGUAAUUGUGGAGAAAACCAUAGUGUGGGUUAUGGAGGAUGUAAAGUUAGAAAGGAUGCCGUGAAAGCGCAAAAUAUAAGAGUAUCUGAAGGAGUAUCAUAUGUGGAAGCUUUAAAGCGUGUCCAAAAAAAUCUGAAGACGAGUGCAGGAAAAGCAGAUCUGGUGGAAAAAUCCUAUACAGUGGAUAAACAAGUAAGCAGUAGAAGAGUAAAUGACAAUACAAUGUUGAUUGAUAAGAUGUCAUUCAUUGCAUUUAUGGCAGAAGUCGUCAAUUGCUCAGCACAAACAGAAAGUCGAACAGAAAGAAUCAGAAUAAUCCUGAGGGCAGCUGGGAAAUAUUUGGAUGUGGAAGGAGUAACGGUGGAACAAGUAAAUGAGA
RNAcentral lists this long non-coding RNA (1152 nucleotides) under Sinocyclocheilus anshuiensis. RNAcentral describes it as "lncRNA (ENSSANG00000015784.1)". Lineage: Eukaryota; Metazoa; Chordata; Actinopteri; Cypriniformes; Cyprinidae. The record is from RNAcentral.